ACUACCGAUUGAAUGGUCAUAGGGAGGCCUCCGGAUUGGCACUGUCGGAUUCGCGAGACUCUGACGGAGGCCAAGAAGUUGGUCAAACUUGAUCAUUUAGAGGAAGUAAAAGUCGUAACAAGGUUUCCGUAGGUGAACCUGCGGAAGGAUCAUCACCGAUCUUCAUACAAAAAGAAGUGCGAGAAUUGCCUCGCUGCUUACUCUGUGAACCUGUACGAGACCGUGGGGGUCGAAGCCUGGCCUUCGUUAAAUGGGUGGAUGUUUUGUGCAUUGCCCGGCCCCCCAUUUGUUUUUGUUUUCUUAUCUCCUGCACGUAUUGUUUUUCUUGUUUUGACUUUGUCUGAAUGUCGAAAAUCAGAAGACAACUUUUAACGGUGGAUCUCUAGGCUCGUGCAUCGAUGAAGAACGCAGCCAGCCGCGAUAAGUAGUGUGAAUUGCAGAAUUCAGUGAAUCAUCGAAUCUUUGAACGCAAAUGGCACUCUUGGUCUACCAGGAGCAUGUCUGUCUGAGUGUUGGUUUCAAAAGCAAAAAAUCGUGCUUGUUUUGCACGGCGUUGAGACUUCACGGCCUUGCGGCCGUGUUUCUCGAAAUGCAGCGGGAAUCGAGAGUCACAAGCGAUUCGCGAAGCCAAAAUAUUUGACGACUUUGUGCUCGCUGCCGACCUCGCCACUUCCCACCCUGUUGCUCUCCGUCAACUUCUUGACCUCAGAUCAGGCAAGAUUACCCGCUGAAUUUAAGCAUAUUACUAAGCGGAGGAAGAGAAACUAACAAGGAUUCCCCCAGUAAUGGCGAAUGAAGAGGGAACAGCUCAAAUUUGAAAUCUCCGUUGUUUUCAACGGCGAAUUGUAGUUUCGAGAAGUACUUUCCAGACGAAUCGACCUUGCCUAAGUUGCUUGGAACAGCACGUCAUAGAGGGUGACAACCCCGUACGUGGCAAGGUUCGAUCGUCGGCGAUGUGCUUUCCAA
Molecule: ribosomal RNA, 966 nt
Filed under: Heliopora coerulea
Lineage: Eukaryota; Metazoa; Cnidaria; Anthozoa; Scleralcyonacea; Helioporidae
Description: eukaryotic LSU rRNA
Rfam family: Eukaryotic large subunit ribosomal RNA (bases 701-966)
Source: RNAcentral